Molecule: long non-coding RNA, 205 nt
Filed under: Elaeis guineensis (African oil palm)
Lineage: Eukaryota; Viridiplantae; Streptophyta; Magnoliopsida; Arecales; Arecaceae
Description: long non-coding RNA (EGUI_LNC032952)
Source: RNAcentral
CUUUGUUUUUGUUUUUGGGCUUUCUUCCAUUAGACAACCGCUACUGCCAACCACCUGCUCGACCGUUCUUGGGUGGUUGGCAUGCCACCGCACCUCGCUGACCAUGCCACCAUUGGACCCGUAAGGGUCCUUGUUUGUACUAGAGAGGGGUGGGGUAAUCUCCUUUGUUUUGCCAAGGAAAACCUAAGAAGAGAGGAAGAAGAAU